UACUGCAUCGACCUUAACCUGACCGGCCAAACCCUAGAAAAUAUCCAAGCAUAGAUCGAUCGAUCGAUUGAUUGAGGGCACACGAAGCAGAUGGCCGACGGCGAUCUGGAGCUGGUAGUACCGGAGGCCGACGACCAUAGCAGAUGGGCAGUAACGUUCCUUGUGGGCUGCGCCGGCGUCUUGGUUCUUUACAUCGCCACCUUCUUUCCAACGACCGAUGAGGACCUCCUCAUGAUGCUCCUCUCGCUUCUGCCCAUCUUGCUCGGCUUCAAUCUUUGCGGCCUUUCAUGCCUUUUCCUUAUGGACAGGUAUAUGGUUGGUCUUAUUCCGGAGGGUGAACUAAGGACAGUUGAUAGACUUUUGUUGCUCUAGUAAUUCUAUAUACCUAAGAGAUUCAUCCCCAUUAUCCUAUUUAUCUUAACAUGCAAGCUAUCCACAUCAGCAGUCCACUCACAUCAGCGCUCCGUUACCGAAUUACAAAAGGGACCCACCACAGGUUGACAUGGAUUCUCUGCCUCCACGUCACCUCAACUUCUUCUACCAAGUUGUGUCACACACACGUCACCUCAACUUCUUCUACCACAUUGUGUCUCACACACAUGCUGUGCGUUAUCACGUUGUGCGGCACGCAGCAAAUGUAGGUGGCAUACGAAACGAGGGCCUGCCCAUAUUCCUUUCAUCCACUAUCUCGCCACUGAUCAUUAAUAGGCCCGUUUACUAGGAUAAAGCCAGUUCGUCUCACACAAAUCAUGAACGAAACAUUGCGCCUUCCAACUGGGUGCUACUGCGACGGGGCGGCGGCGGACAUGUAGCAGAGCACCGGUAUCCAUUAACUAGAGGAAUAGGUGUCAGGCAGGCAGCGGUGAGGACGUAGCAGCAGCCAGCAGGCGAGGCGCCACACACCGACGACAACGAUCGUAGACUGAACGCUCCAGCUAGGGCUGAGCCGCCACUGGGUACUACUGCAAGGGUCGAACAAGCAGAACGAGAGUGCCAGAUCGAUAGAGAAGAACACCGCUACAUGACCAGAAACUGGAGCCCUAUGUUGCCAUCAUGGACAUGGAUCGGAAGGCUCUGAAUUACGCCAGAUGCAUUCAUCCCCUACAAACUAUAAUAUUUCGGGGCAACCUUUUAAUCAUAAUUUAAUUUUAUUAAUAUCUGUGUAAAUGCAGAUAACUCAUCAUGCUUAUUUCUAGGAGUGGAACUAAGCUUCAUCAAAUUCAAAAGCAUGUAUAAUGCUGCGCACUACACAAAACAAACAAAAAGAAUGAGAACAACCUGAGUAUACUGUCAUGAAUGGUAGCAGUAUGUUGCACAAGGUUGAUCCGGUGAGAAGCAUGAUUUACUCAAUAGUGUACCUCGUGAUUUAUUAGUGAUAUCUUUUAACAGAAAAUUAGAUUAUUAGUGAACUCGCAUUUUUUCUUCUGAGCAAGCUAUGUUUUUAUGGAAUGGAUAGUUAAUAGUUGUCAUCGUUGUUUCAGGUUUUUUCCAAGGGCUGAGAUGUCUCUACUUAAAGGUGUUUUUUUUUUUGCAUCAGCUUGGUUUUUUUUUGCGGGUGAUGUAUCACCUUGGUGAUAUACUUUUUUUGCGGGGAACCUUCGUGAUAUACUAUUAAGGUAAUAAAGGAGAAGAAGUUUAUCAAAGCAGGUAAUAAUUAGUAAAAAAAUCACGUGCACACAAUUUAAGCUUUUCAACACUUUUAUCUUAUUCUAAACAAUAUUUUUUUCCAAGAAUGUUAUUUAAAAAAACACAUUUAUCAUAUUCUAAACAAUAUUUUUUCCAAAGAAUAUUCUUUAUCAUCGCACAUACUAAAAUUCAUGUGCACACAAUUUUAGCUUUUCAACACUAUUCUCUCUUAUUCUAAACAAUAUUUUUUUCCAAGAAUAUUAUUUA
Molecule: long non-coding RNA, 1893 nt
Organism: Triticum aestivum (bread wheat)
Lineage: Eukaryota; Viridiplantae; Streptophyta; Magnoliopsida; Poales; Poaceae
Exons: 2
Source: RefSeq, a predicted model, not a curated record